UACGUAAGGGGCGAGCGUUAUCCGGAAUCACUGGGCGUAAAGGGCGCGUAGGCGGCGAUAAAAGUCGGAUGUGAAAUCUCAGGGCUCAACUCUGAGACUGCGUCCGAAACUCUAUCGCUAGAGUGCAGGAGAGGAAGGCGGAAUUCCAAGUGUAGCGGUGAAAUGCUUAGAUAUUUGGAAGAACACCGGUGGCGAAGGCGGCCUUCUGGACUGUAACUGACGCUGAGGCGCGAAAGCAUGGGUAG
This 245-nucleotide ribosomal RNA is filed under the name uncultured bacterium. RNAcentral describes it as "partial 16S ribosomal RNA". It matches the Rfam family "Bacterial small subunit ribosomal RNA", at positions 524 to 768 of the family's 1533-position model. The record is from RNAcentral.